This 301-nucleotide ribosomal RNA is filed under the name uncultured bacterium. Its description in RNAcentral is "partial 16S ribosomal RNA". It matches the Rfam family "Bacterial small subunit ribosomal RNA", at positions 509 to 807 of the family's 1533-position model. The record is from RNAcentral.
CAGUCGCCACGGUAAUACGUAGGGCGCAAGCGUUGUCCGGAAUUAUUGGGCGUAAAGAGCUCGUAGGCGGUCUGUCGCGUCUGGUGUGAAAUCCCGAGGCUCAACCUCGGGCUUGCAUCGGGUACGGGCAGACUAGAGUGCGGUAGGGGAGACUGGAAUUCCUGGUGUAGCGGUGGAAUGCGCAGAUAUCAGGAGGAACACCGAUGGCGAAGGCAGGUCUCUGGGCCGCAACUGACGCUGAGGAGCGAAAGCAUGGGGAGCGAACAGGAUUAGAUACCCCCGUAGUCCCUGUCUCUUAUAC